UACAGAGGGUGCAAGCGUUAAUCGGAAUUACUGGGCGUAAAGCGUGCGUAGACGGUUAUGUAAGUCAGAUGUGAAAGCCCCCGGCUCAACUGGGGAGGGUCACGCGAUACUGCUCGACUUGAAGGCAGGAGAGGGAAGUGGAAUUCCCGGUGUAGUGGUGAAAUGCGUAGAUAUCGGGAGGAACACCAGUGGCGAAGGCGACUUCCUGGCCUGUUCUUGACGCUGAGGCGCGAGAGCGUGGGGAGCAAACAGG
RNAcentral lists this ribosomal RNA (253 nucleotides) under uncultured bacterium. RNAcentral's name for it is "partial 16S ribosomal RNA". It matches the Rfam family "Bacterial small subunit ribosomal RNA", at positions 524 to 776 of the family's 1533-position model. The record is from RNAcentral.